RNAcentral lists this ribosomal RNA (301 nucleotides) under uncultured bacterium. RNAcentral's name for it is "partial 16S ribosomal RNA". It matches the Rfam family "Bacterial small subunit ribosomal RNA", at positions 509 to 808 of the family's 1533-position model. The record is from RNAcentral.
CAGUCGCCACGGUAAUACGUAGGUCCCGAGCGUUGUCCGGAUUUAUUGGGCGUAAAGCGAGCGCAGGCGGUUAGAUAAGUCUGAAGUUAAAGGCUGUGGCUUAACCAUAGUACGCUUUGGAAACUGUUUAACUUGAGUGCAAGAGGGGAGAGUGGAAUUCCAUGUGUAGCGGUGAAAUGCGUAGAUAUAUGGAGGAACACCGGUGGCGAAAGCGGCUCUCUGGCUUGUAACUGACGCUGAGGCUCGAAAGCGUGGGGAGCAAACAGGAUUAGAUACCCGUGUAGUCCCUGUCUCUUAUACC